GAAUUUAAGCAUAUAAGUAAGCGGAGGACAAGAAACUAAACAGGAUCCCCAUAGUAAUGGCGAAUGAACCGGGAUAAACUCAGCAUGGAAAUUGGGGCCUUUGGCUUUGACUUGUAAUCUGGUGAGGCAUUGCCAACAGAGGCGCAUAUGUAAGUCUCUUGGAAAAGAGCAUCAACGAAGGUGAGAGUCCUGAUUGUCAUGUGCAGCCCCCCUGUGCACGGUGUGCCUUCUAAGAGUCACGUUCCUUGGGAUUGGAGCGCAAAUUGGGUGGUAACUUUCAUCUGAAGUUAAACAAUGGUUUGGGACCGAUAGGAAACAAGUACCAUGAGGGAAAGGUGAAAAGGACUUUGGAAAGAGAGUUAAAAGUGCCUGAAAUUGCUGAAGGGGAAGCGAAUGGAACCAGUGGUGCUGGGUGAGAUUGUCACAUGCUGCAAGGAUUGGUUGCUGCCACAACGCAAGUGUGCUGGCAAUUUGUGAACUGCUAGUGUGUGGUGUGUCUUACCUAGUGGGUCAUUGUGGGUUUAUGCAUUAAGAUAAAUCAAAGCAAGCGGGAGCAAGUUUACGAGUUUGUGAAUGUGUGUUGUUAUGCUUGUGCGUAAGCUUUAGUGUUUGUCUGGCUGCAGGGCUGUCCAUCCUCAAGCUUUGCUGUGGUUGCGAUGAGCAUAACCUUCUGCACAGAUCUUGACGAAAUGGUUUCAUUCGACCCGUCUUGAAACACGGAACCAGGUU
Molecule: ribosomal RNA, 729 nt
Filed under: Dinophysis acuminata
Lineage: Eukaryota; Dinophyceae; Dinophysales; Dinophysaceae
Description: LSU rRNA
Rfam family: Eukaryotic large subunit ribosomal RNA
Source: RNAcentral